UUAAUUGAAACCAAAAUAGAGGUUAAUUAUUGUUAAUAAUUAAAUUGAAUUAUAUUCCAAUUAAA
This 65-nucleotide transfer RNA is filed under the name Diadegma semiclausum. RNAcentral describes it as "tRNA-Asn". Lineage: Eukaryota; Metazoa; Arthropoda; Insecta; Hymenoptera; Ichneumonidae. The record is from RNAcentral.